AGGAUGAACGCUGGCGGCGUGCUUAACACAUGCAAGUUGAACGAAGAUGCAUGACAGAAGUUUUCGGACGAAAGACAUGUAUACUUAGUGGCGGACGGGUGAGUAACGCGUGGGCAACCUGCCCUACACAGAGGGAUAACAGCUGGAAACGACUGCUAAUACCUCAUAAGCGUACAGUAUCGCAUGGUACAGUACGAAAAGCCGAGACGGUGUAGGAUGGGCCCGCGUCUGAUUAGUUAGUUGGCAGGGUAACGGCCUACCAAGACGACGAUCAGUAGCCGGCUUGAGAGAGUGAACGGCCACAUUGGGACUGAGACACGGCCCAAACUCCUACGGGAGGCAGCAGUGGGGAAUAUUGCACAAUGGGGGAAACCCUGAUGCAGCGACGCCGCGUGAAGGAAGAAGUAUUUCGGUAUGUAAACUUCUAUCAGCAGGGAAGAAAAUGACGGUACCUGACUAAGAAGCUCCGGCUAAAUACGUGCCAGCAGCCGCGGUAAUACGUAUGGAGCAAGCGUUAUCCGGAUUUACUGGGUGUAAAGGGAGCGUAGGCGGCAGGGCAAGUCAGAUGUGAAAGCCCGGGGCUCAACCCCGGGACUGCAUUUGAAACUGCUCGGCUAGAGUGUCGGAGAGGUAAGUGGAAUUCCUAGUGUAGCGGUGAAAUGCGUAGAUAUUAGGAGGAACACCAGUGGCGAAGGCGGCUUACUGGACGAUAACUGACGCUGAGGCUCGAAAGCGUGGGGAGCAAACAGGAUUAGAUACCCCUGGUAGUCCACGCCGUAAACGAUGAAUACUAGGGUGUCGGGUUCCACAGGGGAUUCGGGUGCCGCAGCAAACGCAAUAAGUAUUCCACCUGGGGGAGUACGUUCACAAGAAUGAAA
This 878-nucleotide ribosomal RNA is filed under the name uncultured bacterium. RNAcentral describes it as "bacterial SSU rRNA". It matches the Rfam family "Bacterial small subunit ribosomal RNA", at positions 26 to 899 of the family's 1533-position model. The record is from RNAcentral.